Molecule: unclassified non-coding RNA, 233 nt
Filed under: Hevea brasiliensis (rubber tree)
Lineage: Eukaryota; Viridiplantae; Streptophyta; Magnoliopsida; Malpighiales; Euphorbiaceae
Source: RNAcentral
GUCUCUGCUUGCCUCUAUUGUUCUGUGGUUGGCCUUUUCAUUUUGUGAAAGUCUUCAAUUAAGAUCAAUGGAGAUAGAGCGGCGACGAGCCCAAGUAAUACUCCAGUUGGUUCAGCAAGCCUCCGCUCUUAAUGGCUCAUCUAUCGCUACACUCAUCGUCGAAGCCACUUCUCAUCCGUAUCUCUUCUCUUUUUCCGAGAUUCUAGCUGUUUCCAAUGUACUCCAGCUUGAAG